RNAcentral lists this small RNA (702 nucleotides) under Histoplasma capsulatum. RNAcentral describes it as "hypothetical RNA". The record is from RNAcentral. Lineage: Eukaryota; Fungi; Ascomycota; Eurotiomycetes; Onygenales; Ajellomycetaceae. RNAcentral also lists the same sequence under 1 other name.
CCCCCAAAAAAGCAACAUAGCAUGCGAGAAGUCUAGCCGAAACCACAAUAUGAACCGAACCUUGAUCGAAGCUAAAGUGGUCUUGGCAAGCCAAAGGCCCAGCCAACCUCGGCAAAAUCUUUGAACGACUUUCCCUUUCGAGAGAAUGCAUGGGUGCGCGUCUUACCCCUCCACAAAAAGGUCAACUACACUGGCCAGUAUAUCCGUGCCCUCAUCCAAAAUGGAAAGCGAACUCGGAGUGUCAGAACACAGCCUUGCUAUGGCCCAGUAUUGAAUUUUUCCCUCCUUUAUCGUUCAAGCUUUUGCCUCGUUAGAGGGCUGACGAUAAUUCUGCUGGGAGACUUCUUAGUUGUUGACUUUUUGAGGAAAUGGAUAUGUCAUAGCCAGAAUCCAGAUGCUUACAAUGCCGAAUUAUUCAGCAAAUGGUAGCACUCCACUGCAAACUCUGCAUCCUUUGCUAGGUGAAUUUUGCCCUUCCGCUGAUGCCAACCUUGUUGUUUUAAAGUUUGCGUGACGUCCUGGGGUGGCUUUUGUCUGAUGCGGUGAGAGCCUUUGCGAUGUAACACACAAGAUUUUCCAGAUCUCUUCCACGCGUUAUUGCUUAUUCUGCUGUGUCAGACAGAGAUUUGGAGGGCUUGGUUGCGUUCACAGGCACACGCGUUGCCUAACUUAUAUAUAAAACAUAUAAUAAAUUGGUAGAGG